ACAGGGUUUGUUUGAUUUGGUACCCAGCAUCCACCGGUUCCAUGCGUAUCCUAGCGGUCGUGGUUCGCUUGCUAACCGGGGUCAUGCGUUUCGUUUAGCCGCGUGUAGCAACUCAAAUGAACACAGAUGCAUGGAGAGAAUACGCCACAUUAGAACAAAUGCUUGAAUAGCUGCAGUUAUCCGACUGUGUGUGCGCUCUAACACCCCGGCUUGGAAAUUGAGGAGGCACAGUAACAGCGCGACAAUUGAGGCGCCGAGCACUAACAGCAGCGGAACACCUCGUCAAAAUGGCAACCCCUUAUGUGACAGACGAAUCUGGGAAGUAUAUCGCGGCAACACAGCGUCCUGAUGGAACAUGGAGGAAACCCCGGAAAGUGAAGGACGGUUACGUACCUCAGGAGGAAGUGCCAGUAUACGAAAACAAAUACGUGAAGUUUUUCAAGAGCAAACCAG
This is a long non-coding RNA of Cynoglossus semilaevis (tongue sole), 453 nucleotides long. RefSeq lists it as uncharacterized. NCBI's taxonomy places the organism in Eukaryota, Metazoa, Chordata, Actinopteri, Pleuronectiformes, Cynoglossidae. The record is from RefSeq and is a predicted model, not a curated record. The transcript has 3 exons.